AUGUAUCAAAGUUGUUUGAUUACCAGGAUGGGUAGAAAUCCCAUGACAUGGAUUACACAAGCCAGGCAAUCAAUGAACUUAAGGAGAGGAAGCAUUAGCUUGAGGAGCAGGCAAAGAUUGAGGUUCAAAUGGAGAAGCUUAAGCUCAAGAAAUAACAGACGUGCAUCCUCAAGAGUCAAGAUGAUAUCAUUCAAAACACCAGGAAGGCCAUGA
Molecule: ribosomal RNA, 213 nt
Filed under: Triticum aestivum (bread wheat)
Lineage: Eukaryota; Viridiplantae; Streptophyta; Magnoliopsida; Poales; Poaceae
Description: partial small subunit ribosomal RNA
Source: RNAcentral